GUUGGUGUGAUAUAGUGGUUUGAGUGUUGGACUCUGAUUCUGGAGAUCUGUGUUCGAUUCCCUGCUUGAGCA
This is a non-coding RNA of Phrynosoma platyrhinos (Desert horned lizard), 72 nucleotides long. Lineage: Eukaryota; Metazoa; Chordata; Lepidosauria; Squamata; Phrynosomatidae. The record is from the annotation of a GenBank genome assembly.